RNAcentral lists this long non-coding RNA (601 nucleotides) under Bos taurus (domestic cattle). RNAcentral describes it as "long non-coding RNA NONBTAT019417". The record is from RNAcentral. Lineage: Eukaryota; Metazoa; Chordata; Mammalia; Artiodactyla; Bovidae.
UUCAGCUGUGAUUGUUAGAAAUAAACAAAAGAAGUAAUGGAAAAGCUGAAGAAUUCUGCGCGGCCUGGGGUGCAGAGGCUGGUUGGGAAAUGGUUCUUAGGACAGGCAGUCCAAGGCAACAUACCUGGAGGCUGGGAGUCUUCAGGCAGGCAGUGGUACUUAGCACCAGUGGCUUGAGCAGAGUGUACAUGCCCCCUGGUAGAUCAGAUGGGAAAGGAGUCCAGGGGGCCUGGUCUGCCAACGAGCAACAAGAAAGCAAGAGAAAACCUAGGAAGUAUUUUGGGCCCAGCUCUGAAAAGUUAGAGUUGUGUUUUGUUUUUCUCUCAAGAGCUUUUUUUUUUUUUAACUGAAAGAAAAUAGGAUAGCAUAGGUUAGCCUUGAAUAAAACAGAAAACACCAGAAUGUGUCACAUAUUAAGACCAAGUGUUGUACAGUGAAGCUGGUUUUAGAAAAAUGACUGGCAGGAUGAAAAAUGGGACUUAUGAUCAGGUGACCUAUUUAAAAACAAAAGUUUUGGUUUAUACUAAAGUAUAUUUUUAAAAGGUACCACCAUGGCAUUGGUAUAAUUUUAUCUUCCCCCUCCUUUCAGUGGGAAAAAAAA